RNAcentral lists this ribosomal RNA (492 nucleotides) under uncultured bacterium. Its description in RNAcentral is "partial 16S ribosomal RNA". It matches the Rfam family "Bacterial small subunit ribosomal RNA", at positions 28 to 507 of the family's 1533-position model. The record is from RNAcentral.
GGUGAACGCUGGCGGUGGGCCUAACACAUGCAAGUCGAACGGCCGCACAGUAAGAGUUUGCCUUUACGGGUGGCGGGGGGCGGACGAGUGAGGAAUACAUCGGAUUCUUCUUUUUCUUGGGGAAUAUCGUGGGACAACAUCCGCUACUACCGCAUACUACCAACGGGUGAAUGCAGGAGUGCUUCGCACUUUGCGCGUUUGAUUGAGCCGAUGCCGGAUUAGCUAGUUGGCGGGGUAAGGGCCCACCAAGGCGACGAUCCGUAGCUGGUCUGAGAGGAUGAUCAGCCACACUGGAACUGAGACACGGUCCAGACUCCUACGGGAGGCAGCAGUGGGGAAUAUUGGACAAUGGGCGCAAGCCUGAUCCAGCCAUACCGCGUGGGUGAUGAAGGCCUUCGGGUUGUAAAGCCCUGUUGUUGGGAAAGAAAAGCAGCAGGUUAAUACCCCGCUGUUCUGACGGUACCCAAAGAAUAAGCACCGGCUAACUUCGUG